AGCGAACGCUGGCGGCAGGCUUAACACAUGCAAGUCGAGCGCCCCGCAAGGGGAGCGGCAGACGGGAGAGUAACACGUGGGAACAUACCUUUUGGUUCGGAACAACUGAGGGAAACUUCAGCUAAUACCGGAUAAGCCCUUACGGGGAAAGAUUUAUCGCCGAAAGAUUGGCCCGCGUCUGAUUAGCUAGUUGGUGAGGUAACGGCUCACCAAGGCGACGAUCAGUAGCUGGUCUGAGAGGAUGAUCAGCCUCACUGGGACUGAGACACGGCCCAGACUCCUACGGGAGGCAGCAGUGGGGAAUAUUGGACAAUGGGGGCAACCCUGAUCCAGCCAUGCCGCGUGAGUGAUGAAGGCCUUAGGGUUGUAAAGCUCUUUUGCCCGGGAAGAUAAUGACGGCACCGGGAGAAUAAGCCCCGGCUAACUUCGUG
This 431-nucleotide ribosomal RNA is filed under the name uncultured bacterium. RNAcentral describes it as "partial 16S ribosomal RNA". It matches the Rfam family "Bacterial small subunit ribosomal RNA", at positions 29 to 507 of the family's 1533-position model. The record is from RNAcentral.